RNAcentral lists this ribosomal RNA (441 nucleotides) under Candida tropicalis. RNAcentral describes it as "eukaryotic LSU rRNA". The stretch from base 112 to 265 matches the Rfam family "5.8S ribosomal RNA". The record is from RNAcentral. Lineage: Eukaryota; Fungi; Ascomycota; Pichiomycetes; Serinales; Debaryomycetaceae.
UUUAUUGAACAAAUUUCUUUGGUGGCGGGAACAAUCCUUCCGCCCGCAGAGCUUAUAAUUGCCCAAACUUUUUUUUUACAGUCAAACUUGAUUUAAUAUUACAAUAGUCAAAACUUUCAACAACGGAUCUCUUGGUUCUCGCAUCGAUGAAGAACGCAGCGAAAUGCGAUACGUAAUAUGAAUUGCAGAUAUUCGUGAAUCAUCGAAUCUUUGAACGCACAUUGCGCCCUUUGGUAUUCCAAAGGGCAUGCCUGUUUGAGCGUCAUUUCUCCCUCAAACCCCCGGGUUUGGUGUUGAGCAAUACGCUAGGUUUGUUUGAAAGAAUUUAACGUGGAAACUUAUUUUAAGCGACUUAGGUUUAUCCAAAAACGCUUAUUUUGCUAGUGGCCACCACAAUUUAUUUCAUAACUAAGACCUCGGAAUCACGUCCGUAUGGAAAAU